Oreochromis aureus is the source of this 1158-nucleotide long non-coding RNA. RefSeq lists it as uncharacterized. The transcript is spliced from 5 exons. The record is from RefSeq and is a predicted model, not a curated record. NCBI's taxonomy places the organism in Eukaryota, Metazoa, Chordata, Actinopteri, Cichliformes, Cichlidae.
UGCUGUGGUAGCCAUGUCAGUAGACAGUUGAUGUUUCAUAAUAUUUUUGCCGUUUCCCUAUCUUCACUCACCAGUCUUCACAACAGCAGACAACAGCACAAUUUUAGUCACUGCAGUCAACACAACGAGCGACAAUACAACAUCUAGCCCGCCGGACAGAAACUCUACUAAUAUAACUCCACUCACUUCAACUGCAUCCCUCAUUAUCACAAACAGCAGUGCUGCAACUACAUCAACAAGUCUCACCACUUCAGCAUCUACAGUUGCUACAGGUUGUUCGGGUCCACCAGAUCUAUGUUGCCCAGGGCGCAACGACUCCUGCUACAGAGGGUGUUUCUGUGACGAGAUCUGCGUGACAUUGGGUGACUGCUGUCCUGACUAUAAUUCAACCUGUAAACAAUCAAACAGUACAACACUUGCACCACUUAAUGUGACCACAACCUCAGGAUCCAGUCUUUCUUCAACAUUUUCUCCCACCUCUAGUAAUUCAGCUAUAGCGAUUGUUCGCCUAAAAGUUUCCUUACUAUCUAAUUCUGAAGCCAAAGAACAAGCGAUUUUAGAAAUUUCAUCGUUUCUUCAGAGACUUGUCCAGCAGAGAUGUAAUGGCUGCGCCGUGACGGUAAAACCUGUGUGAGGCUUUGGACAAUUAAAGAAUUAGAAUGAGGCAACAUGGUGAUGACAGACUCCAACACUCACAAUAAAAUCUAAUCAAACCGGUAAAGCUAAUUGACUAUUUCAGAAUAAGGUGACAGACAUUUGUUCUUAAGUUACCAGUAUAUGCAUGUUUCUAAGUUCUUAUAAUCAGGCCAACAAAAGCUUAUAUUUAAGGAUGUAUUACACAGUUAUGAAUAUUUACCGUAUAUAGAGACAUAGGGUUUUUUUAGGUGGAGGUACAAGAUUUUUUUAAAAUAAAGUUUAAUAAUGGAAUAAUUUUUUAAAAAAAGAAAAGAAAUUCUAACAAUCAUUUGACAGAAGAAUAACUCACCAUACAAAUCCAGUCUGCUCUGGUCAAGGAACGAGACACACUGCCAAACAUGUUUGCAUUACUCUAUUUUUUUCUGUGUUACAUUAAGUUGUGGAAGUUAAGCGGCUGCAAUAAAAUUAUAACGCAUUAUUUAAAAUAACAUUUUAGCAGUGCCGUUAGAAUUUUCCAGAUGA